Molecule: small nucleolar RNA, 69 nt
Organism: Chelonoidis abingdonii (Abingdon island giant tortoise)
Lineage: Eukaryota; Metazoa; Chordata; Testudines; Testudinidae
Source: Ensembl
CGGACAUGAUGUAAAAUCUCCUGCCUGACCAACUGCUGGAGGCAAAAACUGAUUUAAUGAGGCUGAUCC